Molecule: ribosomal RNA, 478 nt
Filed under: uncultured bacterium
Lineage: Bacteria
Description: partial 16S ribosomal RNA
Rfam family: Bacterial small subunit ribosomal RNA
Source: RNAcentral
GAUGAACGCUGGCGGCGUGCCUAACACAUGCAAGUCGAACGGAGUCCGGCCUUUAAGACCUUCGGGUAAAAGAGGGGAAGACUGAGUGGCGGACGGGUGAGUAACACGUGGGCAACCUGGCUCAUGAAGGGGGCUAAAAGAGAGAAAUUUCUGCUAGUACCGCAUAAGCACAUCCUGCCGCAUCGCGGAGGGAGAAAAGAGAAUCUCGAUGAGGUGGACCGGCGUCUGAUAGGCCAGCCAGGAGGGUAAGCGCCUACCAAAGCGACAGUCAGUACCCUGUCUGUGAGGCUGGACGCCCACAUUUGCACGGGGACGCGGCCCGGACUCUUGCGGGAGGCAGCAGUGGGUGAUACUGCACAAUCGGGUGAAUCCUGAUGCAGCGACGCCGCGUGAGUGAAGAAGUAUUUCGGUAUGUAAAGCUCGAUCAGCACGUAAUAUAAUGACGGUACCUAAAGAAGAAGCCCCGGCUAACUACGUG